This 254-nucleotide ribosomal RNA is filed under the name uncultured bacterium. RNAcentral describes it as "partial 16S ribosomal RNA". It matches the Rfam family "Bacterial small subunit ribosomal RNA", at positions 524 to 777 of the family's 1533-position model. The record is from RNAcentral.
UACGUAGGGUGCAAGCGUUGUCCGGAAUUAUUGGGCGUAAAGAGCUCGUAGGCGGUCUGUCGCGUCGAAUGUGAAAACCCGGGGCUCAACUCCAGAACUGCCUUCGAUACUGGCGAUCUUGAGUCCGGAAGAGGUGAGUGGAACUCCUAGUGUAGAGGUGGAAUUCGUAGAUAUUAGGAAGAACACCAGUGGCGAAGGCGGCUCACUGGUCCGGUACUGACGCUGAGGUGCGAAAGCGUGGGGAGCAAACAGGG